RNAcentral lists this microRNA precursor (61 nucleotides) under Strigamia maritima. Its description in RNAcentral is "mir-8364 microRNA precursor family". It matches the Rfam family "mir-8364 microRNA precursor family". The record is from Rfam by way of RNAcentral. Lineage: Eukaryota; Metazoa; Arthropoda; Chilopoda; Geophilomorpha; Linotaeniidae.
UCUUCAAUUCGCAUACUAUCUCGCCGGUUAGAGAAACGAGAGAGCAUGCGAAAUGAAGAGA